UUCACUGGUGCACAUCCUUCGUGUUGUCUUCCUUGACAUUUCAGCCCAUUCAAAAAAUUAUACUUUCCAUCACCAAAUAGCUUGAUUUCAUCCCUUUUAGGCAACCAUUAGUCCAGGAUUGGUAUUACAUAUUCUAUAUAUUUCCAAUUGCAUCCAAUUGCAAGUUUUGGUAGGUUAGGGAUCUCCAUUUUGUUAUUGGUCCGAUCGGUCUGCUCUGAGCUUCUUCAACUGUAAGUGCUCCACUCUUGUUGUUGUAGAAUCUAUUCAAAUCACUACUUGCUUGGGAUUGAGGAGGCAGAGUAGUUAUUGUUGUGUUGAGUCUAUUGAAACGAGGACUGGACUGGAUGGACUGGUUAUGAUUCUCCAAAGUCCGAGCUACUGGUUGAAUGCUUGAGUAAAUGCCUAGUGAACAUUAUGUUCUUGCAUUCACAAGCUAAGUAAAAAAUAAGUUAUCUGUUUUAACGAUAAUCAAGAGAUAAAAAAGAAGAUUAGGCAAAGCUAGAUAUUUGUAAAUGUAAGGGUUGUGUGCUCUUGUUUAAUGUCCACGGUCUCGUCAUGCUCUUGGUUGUGUCUGUUAGAGUGGGUAAAAGUCCACAUUGGUUGGGAAUGGACGGGUGGUCUCUUAUAUGGACUUUGGCAAUUUUUCCCUCAUGAGCUAGCUUUUGGAGCAUGAGUCAGACCUAAGACCUAAUUUAAUAUAGUAUCAGAGCCAAGCCCAUCUCAAUUUGUUGUUCACCGAUGUUGGCCCAUCAGUAGAGGGAUGAGAGAUUGGUCUCUUUAUAUGGACUUAGACAAACCUCCCCCAAUGAACUAGCUUUUGGGGUAACUUUUAUGCUCAUAUCUUAGAUCUUUAAUUAAAUGAAAAACCUCUUUCAUGAACUAAUCCAAAGUUUCUUCUAGGUUAAAUUUCAUUGUGUAUAAUGGGAAGAAACUUCAGCUUCUCUCUUUAUCUAAAGUACAGAAGUUUGAAAGCUGUCUUUCCUCAACAAACAGACAACAGGUAUGAGUAAGAAACUUAAUUUUAUAUAUAUAUAUAUAUAUAUUUCCACCCAAGUUGGAUCAGGUCUCUAUUUGCUAAGUGUUGUGUCAUAUCUGGAAAGUUCCCGGAAAAGGCAUGCAUGGAUUUGCCUAGUUACAUUGGAAAGAAGCACUUGAGACUUAAGUUAGUGAUAAAGUUUCAACAAGGUGGCUUUAAAUAAAUACAGUUUGUUAAAAAGAUUUGCACUAGUGAAUCAAUCGUGUCUACUUUUUAUGUUGCACAUUCUGUUGAUCGAUACUUCAGACAUUUGUUUUGCAGUUUUGUUCUUUAAGUGCAACUCCUUUCUUUGUUUCUUUCCUCAAUGCUGUUUUCAUGCAUUCUCUGGACAAACUUUUCUCUCUUUUGGGGGAGGUGGUUGGGCCAAUAAGAUAUUGAAUAAGAAAGAAAAAUUACAUUGCUUGUACAUUUGAAGGCAUCAGGAAUAAUCAAAUUACUCUUGUACUUGAUUGCUAAGACCUACUACAUUCUAAAGCAAAAUUGUAUAUGUUUUGAGUACAAACACUUGAAAGUUUUCCCAACAUUUCCACCUUUUGUCCUAACUAUUAUAGAGAAGACGACAUUUGGCCAAGUACCGACACACAAUUAUCCCUGGACUCUUUUAGGACCAAAGUAGAGGUUAACAAGGAUAAAAAAGUAUAAUAUGGCUCAUCUUUAAGUCCUAGCUAGUGCCACCCCUAGCCCUUUCCAUACGAAUUAAAUGCCUUCACUAUUCCUGCUAACGUCCUUCUUCAACUGUAAUCGUCACCUGAUUGUUGGAUACGAUGUAUUUCUUAUCGGAGGAAGAAGAAGAUGUACUAGAAGCAUGUGUCCUUAUUACAAAAGCUGGUCUAUUAGGUGUUGGAAGGUUAGUACCUUCCCCUCCCAGCAUUAAAAUGACAUCUGACAUAUUAGGACGAUGAUUUGGAUCUUCUUGUACACACAGGAGUGCAAUAUUUAUGCACUUCAAUGCUUCACUUUUGUUGCAUGAUUCAAGUAGUGACUUCUCUAUUAAUUGUAUCUCAGUUUUUUCUGUCCACAAUUUCCAUGCCUGUGAUAAUUUUUCUAUCAGAGAAACAAAGCUAAGAAGAAGAUAUAAUAAUUAAGUCAUGGGAAGUUUCUUCACUUACAUAGCCCAACAAGUUUAAGGCUUCUUCUGACUGAUAAAAUCCUGUAUUCCUUCUUCCACUGAUUAUCUCAAGUACGACUACUCCAAAACUGAAUACGUCUGAUUUGAUGGAAAACAAUCCAUCUAGUGCAUAUUCAGGAGACAUAUAGCCGCUAGAUUUCAUCAGGUGAACAAAACAUUUGAGUAUAAGAUCUUAUCCAAAGCUCCUUUUGUAAGAAAUUAAUGACAGGAAGAGAUAUAAUACUUACUAGGUCCCCACUACUUUCUUUGUAUUUGCUUCUGUUACUUUUCCUUCAACAAUCCUUGCCAAGCCAAAAUCUGAAAUUUUCGGGUUCAUCUCCUCAUCUAAUAAAAUGUUACUGGUUUUUAAAUCUCUAUGAAUGAUCCUUAGUCGUGAAUCAUGGUGAAGAUAAGAUAGACCCCGUGCAAUGCCCAGUAUGAUGUCAUAACGUUUCUUCCAAUCCAAUAAUUGACAAAGUGUUCCAUCUUGCAUCGUUACCAUGACAAAGUUUGGUACGUCAAUAAAAUUAGAUCAUUAUAAGAAAUGUAUGACUUUGAGAAUAAAGAACUUAACAAGGCUAACUCACCAAAUAUGAAUGUAUCUAAACUUUUAUUCGGCAUAUAUUCAUAAAGUAAUAUUUGUUCCGUUGCAUUGAUGCAAUAACCCAAUAGCCUCACCAGAUUUCGAUGUUGAAGCUUUGCAAUUAGAGUCACUUCAUUCUUAAAUUCAUCUAUGCCUUGUCCUGAUUGACUGGAUAACGUUUUUACUGCAAUUUCUUUUUCGCCCGGAAAGAUACCCUGCAAAAAAAAUUCAUCUCAUUACUAUAGGUCAAUAUGGCCAUGCCAGUCCAUAUAGAUGUAGGAAUGAAGUUUGAACCUUGUAAACAGGACCGAAUCCUCCUUGUCCGAGCUUAUUCGCAUUUGAGAAGUUGUCUGUAGCUUCCAAAAUAGUCUCCAAGUGAAAAUAUGGAACAUCAAUCGCUUCAUCACUGUUUUCAUUCAUUAAUACUUUUGCUUCUCCUUCAGCUUUGUGCCAGUGAGAUUUAUGUGCCCCUUGAAUACCUUUACUUCUAUCUGAUUGAGAAUGACCUUUGAAAGUAAGUUCAAAAUGCUAUAAGAGAAAAUAUCUUUCAGAGUAAGAUUCAUUCAGCAACUACCUGCUCUUUUUGCAAUUCUUCUUUUAUAGUAAAUGUAGCUAAUGCUGCCUAUGAGUAGAAACAUCAAAACUGAUAUUGACGAAAGGAUUGCUUUUAGCUUCAUCGACUUCUUAGCUUUAGUUUGAGCUGAAAGGAGAAUCAUUGUUGUUAAGUGCUAAUGGUUAAUAAGGAAUUCUAUCCAUAACAUAGUACUUAUAUGAAAUAAAGAAUCAAGCUAUGUUAAUAUGCUAUUCUAACCUUCAGGUGAGCCGCGUUUGACAAAUAUUGUCCUUUUUGACUCAGUUGUGCUGAGUUGUUCCAGAUUGAACAGAUCCCCUGUCCAGAUGGAACAGGUACCGGAACCAUCAUAAGUAUAAGCAGUGCAAGAGCAAUCGUUGAAACAUGCAGAUCUACACUGUGAGGCUGUCCCAACUGUGAUAUUAGUAUUAUGAGAAGCAGGUACUCUCACAAUUGAAGUUAUCCAUAAACUAUCUUUGUCUUCAGUAAUUGCAUCACACUGCACCUUUUCGUCUGUUACACAGCCACUGGAAUAAUCAUUUGAAUUCCAUUCUGCAUCUGAUCUUUGCUUGAAACCACUCAAACAAUUGCAGGUUGCAUUAGCUUCAUCACAAACUCCAAAUGCCCCACAUAUAGCAUAAACCUGACAAGAUUCUCUUGGUUGAGUCCAGAAUAAAUUCCAAUCAAUGCUACCAUCCAACCAUGACAGUUGCUUAAUUUGUCCCGAG
RNAcentral lists this long non-coding RNA (4026 nucleotides) under Solanum tuberosum (potato). RNAcentral describes it as "long non-coding RNA (STUB_LNC007056)". Lineage: Eukaryota; Viridiplantae; Streptophyta; Magnoliopsida; Solanales; Solanaceae. The record is from RNAcentral.